GAUGAACGCUGGCGGCGUGCUUAACACAUGCAAGUCGAGCGAGUGAGUUCUUUGGAACGAUCUAGCGGCGGACGGGUGAGUAACACGUGGGCAACCUGCCUCAUAGAGGGGAAUAGCCUCCCGAAAGGGAGAUUAAUACCGCAUAAAAUUAUCGAGUGGCAUCACAUGAUAAUCAAAGGAGCAAUCCGCUAUGAGAUGGGCCCGCGGCGCAUUAGCUAGUUGGUGAGGUAACGGCUCACCAAGGCGACGAUGCGUAGCCGACCUGAGAGGGUGAUCGGACACAUUGGGACUGGGACACGGCCCAGACUACUACGGGAGGCAGCAGUGGGGAAUAUUGCAAAAUGGGGGAAACCCUGAUGCAGCAACGCCGCGUGAGAGAUGAAGGUCUUCGGAUUGUAAAGCUCUGUCUUUGGGGACGAUAAUGACGGUACCCAAGGAGGAAGCCACGGCUAACUACGUGCCAGCCGCCGCAGUAA
This 476-nucleotide ribosomal RNA is filed under the name uncultured bacterium. RNAcentral describes it as "partial 16S ribosomal RNA". It matches the Rfam family "Bacterial small subunit ribosomal RNA", at positions 28 to 523 of the family's 1533-position model. The record is from RNAcentral.